Molecule: ribosomal RNA, 253 nt
Filed under: uncultured bacterium
Lineage: Bacteria
Description: partial 16S ribosomal RNA
Rfam family: Bacterial small subunit ribosomal RNA
Source: RNAcentral
UACGUAGGCAGCGAGCGUUGUUCGGAAUUACUGGGCGUAAAGAGUGUGUAGGCGGUGUUCCAAGUCUGGUGUGAAAUCUCCCGGCUUAACUGGGAGGGUGCGCCGGAAACUGGAAUGCUCGAGGGUGGGAGAGGUAAGCGGAAUUCCUGGUGUAACGGUGAAAUGCGUAGAUAUCAGGAGGAACACCUGUGGUGUAGACAGCUUACUGGACCACUUCUGACGCUGAGACACGAAAGCGUGGGUAGCAAACAGG